UAACAGCCGGAAACGGCUGCUAAUACCGAAUACGAUCUUUUCGUCGCAUGACGAAAAAAGAAGAAAAGGAAUGGCCUCUAUACAAAGCUAUCGCCGAAGGAGGGGUUUUGCGUCUGAUUAGCUGUUGGGGGAGGGUAACGGCCCAACAAGGCGAUGAUCAGUAGCCGGUCUGAGAGGAUGAACGGCCACAUUGGGACUGAGACACGGCCCAGACUCCUACGGGAGGCAGCAGUGGGGAAUCUUCCGCAAUGGACGAAGGUCUGACGGAGCAACGCCGCGUGAGUGAAGAAGGUCUUCGGAUUGUAAAGCUCUGUUAUACGGGACGAAAAAGACGGAUGCCAACAGUAUCCGUCCGUGACGGUACCGUAAGAGAAAGCCACGGGCUAACUACGUGCCAGCAGCCGCGGUAAAU
Molecule: ribosomal RNA, 412 nt
Filed under: uncultured Megasphaera sp.
Lineage: Bacteria; Bacillati; Bacillota; Negativicutes; Veillonellales; Veillonellaceae
Description: bacterial SSU rRNA
Rfam family: Bacterial small subunit ribosomal RNA
Source: RNAcentral